Molecule: long non-coding RNA, 964 nt
Filed under: Pseudonaja textilis
Lineage: Eukaryota; Metazoa; Chordata; Lepidosauria; Squamata; Elapidae
Description: lncRNA (ENSPTXG00000013888.1)
Source: RNAcentral
AGGAGAUUGGUCUGUAAUUUUCAACUAGGCUGGGGUUUAGCAUUUUUAUAACUCAUUUGUUACAACUAUGGUUGAAUGUUGCUUCAGUGGGCAAGGGCGUACUAAAUUUUAUCUGUAGACACUGAUGCUAUAGGAUGGAAGAGAUAAGAAAAAGUAAUGUGAGUUUUGGUAGCAAAAGGUGGGAUAAGCAAAAGUUUCAAGUAUGGAAGAAGAGCCUGCUUAUAAGUGCUGCAGUAUUGCAAAGGGUGGCAUCCAAUUUUGCUCAGGUUUCAAAUCACUACAGAACAAAAAAAAAAUUUUUUUCCAGUUCCCUGGAUCAACUAGCUGUACGAAAUCAGAAAAACCUACAGCUGCUUCUGAACUGUUGCAAAUCUUUGUGUGGAUGUUCCCACUGUGAAACUAUGUUAUGGGACUGGUGAGAAACCAACUUCUGUGUGCAAGCAGUGAAUUUUGUUGCUAUAUUUCAGAUAAAAACAACUAUUCCUGGGCCCAACUAUCUAUAUAUCAUAACUUCCAAAGUUACUGGUUUUUGCAUUUUAGCUUUUUUUUUUUUUUACAGAAAUUAUGGCAAGAAAAUGAAGACUUGAAGGCAACCAUCCGUGAAAUACACAGUUCAUCUGCUGGACUCCCAUCCCAGUCACCACCUAAUUCUGGGCUCUUGUUUGAAAAUCCAUAUUCUGCAUCACCAAAAAUUGUUCAGACGAAUCCGGCUUACUUUGGAACUUUAGAGCUAUGUGCCUAGGCCCUUGGCAGACAUUCAACAAAUGUGAAUUCUCAUCCUCUGAGACAAGAAUGUAUCCCAGGUGCCUCUCAAUAUGAGAUAGUGCUUUCUUCAAAUUCUAUAUACAGAAGAAAUUCAUCGGACAUAAAUCCAGCUGUUUUAACAAUAUGCAGCAACUUCCUACACAUCUAAUAUAUUUCUGUCUGGUGCUCUGUGACUUUUAGAACUGGAAUAGUGUGGACU